Pipistrellus kuhlii (Kuhl's pipistrelle) is the source of this 3276-nucleotide RNA transcript. It is a transcript of the gene named doublecortin like kinase 2, with no coding region annotated. The record is from RefSeq and is a predicted model, not a curated record. The transcript is spliced from 18 exons. NCBI's taxonomy places the organism in Eukaryota, Metazoa, Chordata, Mammalia, Chiroptera, Vespertilionidae.
GCUGCCUAGGACCCAGAGGGAGCCGCUCCCCUCGCCCUGCAGCGCCUCCGCGCCGACCGGUGCAGCCCCCUCCUCUCACUUCGCAGCCCCCCGCCGGGGUUUUGGCACCUCUUGGGGGCGGAAAACUCCGCCAUCCCUGACCGCGGGCCGUGCCCGUGGCUUGGGGGGCCGAGCGCGUAUGCCAGCCGGUGCGCUGGGUGGGCCUGCGGUGGGGGCGGCGGGCGGCCUUAUUCCCCGCUAGGGCCGGACUCAGGGGCAGGAAGGGGCCCGCCAGGCUCUCCCAGCCCAGCCAGCGCGCUCCGACCCUCCCGCUGGCCCAGGGCACCAGCUCGGCCGCAGCUCCGUGCCCAGCACCAGGCGCGAGUGGGCGGGCCCGCGGCGCCGCUCCCACGCUCCAGCCCCUCCCCCGCCCCUUCCUUCCUUCCCCGCCGCGCUCCGGGCGGCCGCCGGCGGAUGCGAGCCGCACCGGGCGCCCCAGCUCAGUGUGCGCCCGCGGGCCGGGGGCGAGCCUUGGGUGGUGGCCCUUCUGGGCGGCUCGGGGCCGGCUCCCCGGCGGGCGCUGUGAGGCGGGGCCGGGGGGAGGAGGCGCUUGGCGGGGGCGUGGGGCUCCCCGGCGGCGGCGGCGGGAGGGACGGAGCCAGCCGCGCCGCCGGACAAUGAGCCGGGCCGCCGGGCGCUGCGGCCGCUGCUAGGAGGAGGAGGGCGCGGGAGGGCGGCUCAGCGCCUCCACCUGCGCGGAGGGCGGGAUGCCCGAGCCAGGUGUCCCCGCGCUAUAAAGGCCCCUGGCGGCCAAGCGUUCCGGAGGAGUCGGUUCUUGCAUUGAGGCUGGGCUACCUGCAGGCUUUGGCUGGGACGUUUUUUGGUUUUGGUUGGUUUUUUUGUGUGUUUGUGUGCGGGGAGCCCUAGGAGCCUCCACGAUGGCGAGCAGCACCAGGAGCAUCGAGCUGGAGCACUUCGAGGAGCGGGACAAAAGGCCGCGGCCUGGGUCGCGGAGAGGGGCGCCCAGCUCGUCCGGGGGCAGCAGCAGCUCGGGCCCCAAGGGCAACGGGCUCAUCCCCAGCCCGGCGCACAGCGCGCACUGCAGCUUCUACCGCACGCGCACCCUGCAGGCCCUGAGCUCCGAGAAGAAGGCCAAGAAGGCGCGCUUCUACCGCAACGGGGACCGCUACUUCAAGGGCCUGGUGUUCGCCAUCUCUAGCGACCGCUUCCGCUCCUUCGACGCGCUGCUCAUGGAGCUCACCCGCUCCCUGUCGGACAACGUGAACCUGCCCCAGGGCGUCCGCACCAUCUACACCAUCGACGGCAGCAGGAAGGUCACUAGCCUGGACGAGCUGCUGGAAGGUGAGAGUUACGUAUGUGCAUCAAACGAACCAUUUCGGAAAGUUGAUUACACCAAAAACAUUAACCCGAACUGGUCUGUGAACAUCAAGGGCGGGACCACCCGAGCCUUGGCCGCUGCCACCUCGGUGAAAAGUGAAGUGAAGGAAAGCAAAGAUUUCAUCAAACCCAAGCUGGUGACUGUGAUUCGAAGCGGAGUGAAGCCCAGGAAAGCCGUGCGGAUCCUCCUGAACAAGAAGACCGCACAUUCCUUUGAACAAGUCUUAACCGACAUCACCGAAGCCAUUAAACUAGACUCAGGAGUGGUCAAGAGGCUCUGCACCCUGGACGGAAAGCAGGUUACUUGCCUGCAAGACUUUUUUGGUGAUGAUGAUGUUUUUAUUGCAUGUGGACCUGAAAAAUUCCGUUAUGCCCAAGAUGACUUUGUCCUGGAUCACAGCGAAUGCCGCGUCUUGAAGUCAUCGUAUUCUCGCUCCUCGGCCAAGUAUUCUGGAUCCAAAAGCCCUGGGGCCUCUCGCCGCAGCAAGUCACCAGCCUCAGUAAAGAGGGGUGGCCCCUACUCCAGUGCCUACUCUACAGCCAAAUCCCCAGUUAAUGGAACUCCCAGCAGCCAGCUCUCCACCCCUAAAUCUACGAAAUCCUCCAGUUCCUCUCCAACCAGCCCAGGAAGUUUCAGAGGAGUAAAGCAGGUUUCUGCACAUGGCAGAUCUUCCUCCAACAUAAACGGUGGGCCUGAGCUUGAUCGUUGCCUGAGUCCCGAAGGCGUGAAUGGAAAUAGAUGCAUUGAAUCUUCGACUCUUCUUGAGAAGUACAGAAUUGGAAAGGUUAUUGGUGAUGGCAAUUUUGCAGUAGUCAAAGAGUGCAUGGACAGGGCCACCGGAAAGGAGUUUGCCCUGAAGAUCAUAGACAAAGCCAAAUGUUGUGGAAAGGAGCACCUGAUCGAGAAUGAAGUGUCCAUCCUGCGUCAAGUGAAACACCCCAACAUCAUCAUGCUGGUGGAGGAGAUGGAAACGGCCACCGAGCUCUUCCUGGUGAUGGAAUUGGUCAAGGGUGGAGACCUCUUUGAUGCAAUUACCUCUUCAACCAAGUACACCGAGCGGGACGGCAGUGCCAUGGUGUACAACCUGGCCAACGCCCUCAGGUACCUGCACGGCCUCAGCAUUGUGCACAGGGACAUCAAGCCGGAGAACCUCUUGGUGUGCGAGUAUCCCGACGGAACCAAGUCUCUGAAACUGGGCGACUUCGGGCUGGCCACCGUGGUGGAAGGGCCCUUGUACACCGUCUGCGGCACACCAACCUAUGUGGCUCCAGAGAUCAUUGCUGAAACCGGCUAUGGCCUGAAGGUGGACAUUUGGGCGGCAGGCGUGAUCACGUACAUACUUCUCUGUGGAUUCCCGCCAUUCCGAAGUGAGAACAACCUCCAGGAAGACCUCUUCGACCAGAUCCUGGCUGGGAAGCUCGAGUUCCCAGCCCCCUACUGGGAUAACAUCACGGACUCCGCAAAGGAACUAAUCAGCCAGAUGCUUCAGGUCAACGUGGAAGCGCGGUGUACUGCGGGGCAAAUCCUGAGCCACCCCUGGGUGUCGGAUGACGCCUGCCAGGAGAACAACAUGCAGGCUGAGGUGACAGGUAAACUAAAGCAGCACUUCAACAACGCGCUCCCCAAGCAGAACAGCACCACCACCGGGGUCUCCGUGAUCAUGUUUGAUUUGACAGUGUGAGACACACCUCUGAGUUCCACUCUUGACCCAGUUGAGGCUGUGGGGACUCCCGAAGCAGAAAUCUGAACACGGCUCUAGAUAAGGAGGGCCAGAUCUUCGGCAGCAAACACUGGCAGGACGGCGGCCGGCCCGGGCCGGAGCCCGCCUCUCCGAUGCCUCCCUCCGCCCAGGAGGCCCCCGGCGCCCCGGAGUCCCCGCCGCCGCGCCCCUGCGCCCC